Onychomys torridus (southern grasshopper mouse) is the source of this 346-nucleotide long non-coding RNA. RefSeq lists it as uncharacterized. The transcript is spliced from 3 exons. The record is from RefSeq and is a predicted model, not a curated record. NCBI's taxonomy places the organism in Eukaryota, Metazoa, Chordata, Mammalia, Rodentia, Cricetidae.
AAGGUGCAGAGUUGGGAGGCGGUUGUGGGGCAUGCGGUACUGCAAGGGCACUCCGGGUCCAGGAGCUUCUGAGCGGGCUCGAUUUUCCGCGGCUGUUUAAGGAGUAGAACUUCGGUAGCCGCGGAGCUGGAGGGGAACCUGAUUUGAGAUCAAUUCUUGGAGAACACGAAGUGUGGUGGUAUGUUCCAGGUGUGAGUUUAAUUUAAAUGAUUGAACCAGCUGCCCUUUGACCCUGCCAACAACAACGAACCCCUGCAGUUUGGUAGUGCCACUGGCCCUCUGGUCGCAGAUGGCCUCAUUGAAAAUGGAGGGGAUUCAAGCAAGAAAAGAAAGAGAACAAAUACUC